This 70-nucleotide transfer RNA is filed under the name Marmota monax (woodchuck). Its description in RNAcentral is "tRNA.Leu". Lineage: Eukaryota; Metazoa; Chordata; Mammalia; Rodentia; Sciuridae. The record is from RNAcentral.
GGUUGUGGCUCAGUGGUAGAGCACUUGCCCUAAGACAGUUGAGGCCCUGGGUUCGAUCCUCAACACAUUA